GGAGCAGCAGGAGGAGUGAAGGAAAAGAAGGCGGCGGAGAAGGCCCUGCUCGCCGGAGAGGUCGAUCGGCGGCGACGAACUCCGAGCCGCACGUUCUGGCGACGGAGGGCUGGAACCGGUCGAUGGGGAGACCUGUAGGCGCGCGGCGGCGGCGGUUUGGGACGGCGGCGAAGCUGCAACUCGGACGGCGCCAUGGCUUCCUAUGCAAAGAAAACGAGACGAGGGGGAGGUCAGGGAGGAGCAGCAGGAGGAGUGAAGAAAAAAGGCGGCGGAGAAGGCCCUGCUCGCCGGAGAGCUCGCCUAGCGCCGACGCUCGCUGUAGCGGGAGUAUGCUCGGGCGUACCGGCAUGAGAGCUGCAGUUGGUGGGAAUUGGCUGCGGGCAUAGGAACCGUGGAUUGAUCCCACGUACACACAGCACUUCUCGGCUCUACGAAAUCCAUGGCUCAAGUGCGUGUCCCGGGAUCCGAGCCUCUAUCACUUCUUCAGUUCCGGCUUGCUUCAAGAACAAAAAAUUUCUGUGUGAAAGACCACUAGCAGAACUGAAUGUUGUAUGCACCUUCAUCUUGCAGUCCAAUUACUUGGAUUAUUUGGGACAAAUUCCUUUCUUUUUAACCGUACUACAGUUAGAUAGCAGGAUAAGGAUACAUGCUUGUACUGCCUCUAUCGUAAAUUGCACAUGAGUUGAUUCCGAGUUUAGACAGCUAGCAAUCAAUCGCUCUGAAGGUAUUGCUCUUUUAUUUUAUUUCAGAUCAUGAGGAAAUGGGUUCAGAUAUGUGACUACUCUAUGCUGUACUAACUAUUCUAUGUUGUACUGACUAUUCUAUGCGACCACCAACAGCAAGGGUUCUCUCAGCACUGUAGCGGCUUGCUCGAAUCGUCCACCACCGACCGCCGCUGGCGCAAGCUGAAACUCACCCGGGGGAGCACUGGCUGGCGCGACAGUGGCGGCGAGGACCAGGUCAAGGCUUCGCAAUAAGCGCCGGAUCAAGCCAUGAAACAUGUUGACGGAUUAGUUUUCCACCUCAUGUUUACUUCACCAUGUAGUUGGGUGUAACGCGAGUUCUGCUCUUCUUCUAGGCUGUUGGGAGGAGCGACCCUGCCAUCACGUGGAGAACGAGCGGCUCCUGGUGCUCGACAAGGUGCCUGAGCAAGGCAUAUUAGUGGACGUGGCUCGACCCUGAACGUGCUUUCCCCAAAUUUGUUCAGUGAGCAGUGCUAUCAUAUUCUCCUUGCUCUUAUCAUGGAAAGGUUUGGAGUUUGGGUCUUUUUAGUUCUCGCGUUCGGACCAAAAUGAGUGGGGGAGUGGAGAUUGGCAUGAAUAAUUGCAAUUUUUAACACAAGGUUGUGCUAGCAAGGAAAUUCACUUCAGCUCAAGACUUGAUAAGGCAUGUGGCGACCCUAGGAGGUGCUGUUGUGCUCACUCGCAUACCAUAUAUUCAGAGUUAAAGUUGUUUGCGUGCUUUCUAUGGUCUAAGUGGUAACACAUGAAAGAUCCAGAAAGAUUUUGAAGCGGCGUAGAUCCAGCCGGUGCAUACUAUUGCCUUCAAAGGCCUUGAAGGAGAUCAUAUAUGUUUGGCUACUGACAUGACAAGAAUUUCAGCAAAAAGGUGACAUGAAUUUUCACCUUCUCGUCUGCUCUUUUAUCUUUUGCUAUUCUGCAUUAACACUCAGGUGUCUGCUGUUUCAGAUUUCCAAUUAUUAGACACAUGCUUUGCAGCUUGUAUUAGUACAUAUCACCAUGCAUCCAUGCCUAAGCUACUAGCGAAAUGAAGGAAACUUUUCCAUGAUUUGUGUAGACUGGAGUCCCUUUAACAUGCAUUCUCUAUUCUUGAUUUAAGAAUUUGACUAUAUGGUGUGCAUUUAAGUAGUGGAUGAAAUUAUAAUCACCGCUUGAUUCUAUGUCCAAUGCUAGAAAAAAAGGUUAUUUUUCUUAUUACUGGGGAACAACUAAUUUGACUUGUUCUAUGUCUGCUCAAAUAAUUGUUUCAGUUUCAAAAUUGUCACAUAAGAAAUAAGCCAUCAAAGCACAGAAAUGCAAUCUUAGUAGCAACACUAACUUAGGGCGCAGACAUUUAGUGCUCGGGCUUGCUUGCCUUUGGUAUCGUUAGAUAGUAGAGAUGACUGACAUAUGUUAAUGCAUGUGAAUACUCAACGUUAAAGCAAGCUGUUUUGUGAAAUACAGAACUGGCGUAACCACUUAGAAAAGGAAAUUAGUUGUUCCCCAGUGCUAUGAAAAAUACAGAGCUGACGUACAAGAUACAGAACUUAUUUGGAGGUAGUUAACAGAGGUGACAUUUAUUAGGGGGGUGACACUUAUGCAAGUAGCUACGGCUAUGAAUAGAUGAGCGUUGGCCAUGAUUAGCAGCACCACCAUGAGGGCAUUUGUCCUGGAAGUGUGGUCGGGGACUGGGGAUGAUUGAACACAGGUGACUGUCUUCUCAACUUGAUGUUGCUUUGAAUGCGUCGGACGCUGAUCCAAGUUGCGGCGAGCUGAUAUCCAUCAUGGCUUGGGAGGGAUUACUUGUAUUCUACCAAUUCAAAAUUAAUCUCAUGCAAUCAUUUUCUUGAUGACUAUGAGAGGUAUUCCCAUUUGCAAAUCUCCGCCUUCACAUAUGGCCUCAUGCGAGGUCCGGCCGCCAGCGGCGCGAUGUGAAAUGCGGGUGUUGGAGGUGCAGGUGGAGGGGUGGAGCGGCGAUGACGACGGCCAGAGGAAGAGCCGACCUCGUGGUCGUUCCUGCCCUUGCCGCCGGAGAUCCAGUGUGGCCGGCGGCAAGGUUGAGCUAGGGUUUGGAGAAACCGAGCAUGUCGGGCUUCAAGGAGGCAUGUGUCGCCGGGAGUGGGGAAGUGGAAGUGUGUACCCCCACCGGUCCAUGGCUUCCGCAUUAAAAAGGACGGCGACCACUCGGCCAGGGUGGCUGACAAGCGAGGCCGCCCGCACGUGCAUCGUAAAUGUGGACGGUGGGUGGUAGGUGGGCGGCUGCCACGCGGGCCCAAGGAGGACGCGGAGUGGGCGUGUGGGCGUCCGUUCGACGUUCGUCUGGACGCAAACCGGGCGCAAAUUUGAGCCGGAAAUGGGGCGGCCCGAACGCGAAACGGACAGAAAAUGCAAUGGAUUGGUUGAAGGUCUGCGGGUCGUGCGGUCUGUCCGUUUGGGCCCAAACGGGCAGACGCGGACCGGACGGGGUGGUGCGUUGGAGUUGCCAUAAUGGAUUGGUUGAAGGUAGCAUCUUCUACCGAGCUUCAAUUGAUAGGGAAGGAAUUGUGUCUGUCUGUGCCUUUGGUUUUCUUGUGCGUCGAGAGUUCGUACAGUUUAUUUUGAGGGAAAGAGAUUCUUCAUCUAGAUGAGAAAGAGCACUCUGAUUAAUUAGAUCAGAAGUUGUGUGUGAUGUUGGUUUCUCGUGACUACAAUGGCACCAACCACCAGGUGAGGUCGUGAGUGAGGCGCCGCAGGUGGACAUGAGGAAGGCUUCUUGACCUAUAAGAUCCAUGGUUGGGCAAGUUUGCUUCAUCUAAACUUUACUUAGUCUGAGAUGAUUAGGAUCCUUAAUUGCUUUAUUUAAUUUGCAUUGGUUUAUUUUUGCAGCAUCUCCUGCAAUACAGGAGCAAAAAACUUAGCACUGUUGAUCUUUUAAACUUGAAGUUACAACUGCUUAACCCGAUAAUAAUUUACUUCUGGAGAUUGCAGAAGCCGUUUCAAUGAACAUAAACGACAGGGGCAUCCUGGGUAAAUCAGCUAGGAGCAGUCUAGAAAAAUGUGACAGUCUCACACUACAGCAGCAUGCCUAAUGCAAGACACCAGAAUAAUGAUUGAAGCGUUAAAGCCCCUUCUCUUUGGAUUUUGAUUGGUUUUUGAUUGGUUUUUGUGUAUGUCCUUUGCUCAGGCAUUUACAUGUCCGAUUUGUUUGUACUAAGUGGUAUUCAUUUUUUCCUUUAGUCUCAUCAAUUUUACAAUUUUUGUGAAAAGGCGUAUGUUUCGCUUUUCAGUUUGAUCCCCAACAAUAUAUUGUAGGGUGAAGAAGUGCUUAUGUAUAUGUUCCAACAAAAUGUGUGGCAAAAUCACUGGAAUUAUGGUGUUAUGAGCUAGAAGAUUUCGAAAGCACACCAAUAAGAAAUUACACAUAUUUAUACCUCAGACGGGGAAGCAUGUGUUUGAUCUUUGCUAUUGAGACUCAAUAUUUCCUACCGGAUGUCUAAAACAUGUAUUAUUAGAAGCAAAAUAUUUACAAGGAUUACAUGUAUGCUAUUUUUAUGGGGCUAUCUAAUGUUUGAUAUCCUGGCCUCUAAUUAUUUGUAUUUAUUGUCUGGCUCUAUGAAAAUACAAUCGUGUCGGCAAAUCAUAUUACAACAUUUGUGACAUCCAUAAGAAAUAGGCACUCCUAGCAUUGCCUUGGGAGUUGAUAUUUUGUCAUGAACAGAGAAAGGCCAAAGUUAUGUGCAAUAGUUGUCGGAGUGGUUAGUGGUUACCAUGCUGCAGAACCAAUUGAUAGAUUAUCACGUUCUUCAUUAUUGUUGGCUUAAUACUUUACUGUUGUGUUUCUAAUUAGAGGGCUGCAGUUGCACCUGAGUUGAGGGGGUGGUAA
This is a long non-coding RNA of Triticum dicoccoides, 4581 nucleotides long. RefSeq lists it as uncharacterized. The transcript has 5 exons. Lineage: Eukaryota; Viridiplantae; Streptophyta; Magnoliopsida; Poales; Poaceae. The record is from RefSeq and is a predicted model, not a curated record.